RNAcentral lists this ribosomal RNA (270 nucleotides) under unidentified soil organism R6-120. Its description in RNAcentral is "partial 16S ribosomal RNA". It matches the Rfam family "Bacterial small subunit ribosomal RNA", at positions 505 to 774 of the family's 1533-position model. The record is from RNAcentral.
GUGACAGCAGCCGCGGUAAUACGUAGGGACCAAGCGUUGUUCGGAUUUACUGGGCGUAAAGGGCGCGUAGGCGGCUUGCCAAGUCACUUGUGAAAUCUCUGGGCUUAACCCAGAACGGCCAAGUGAAACUGGCAUGCUAGAGUGCAGAAGGGGCAAUCGGAAUUCUUGGUGUAGCGGUGAAAUGCGUAGAUAUCAAGAGGAACANCUGAGGUGAAGACGGGUUGCUGGGCUGACACUGACGCUGAGGCGCGAAAGCCAGGGGAGCAAACG